This 504-nucleotide ribosomal RNA is filed under the name uncultured bacterium. RNAcentral describes it as "partial 16S ribosomal RNA". It matches the Rfam family "Bacterial small subunit ribosomal RNA", at positions 28 to 523 of the family's 1533-position model. The record is from RNAcentral.
GAUAAACGCUAGCGGCAGGCUUAACACAUGCAAGUCGAGGGGCAGCAUAGAUUGUAGCAAUACAAUUGGUGGCGACCGGCGCACGGGUGCGUAACGCGUAUGCAACCUACCCGUCACAGGGGGAUAAUCCGGAGAAAUCUGGUCUAAUACCCCAUAACAUAUGGAUCGGCAUCGGUUCAUGUUGAAAUUUUCGGAGGUGACGGAUGGGCAUGCGUAGCAUUAGCUUGUUGGUGAGGUAACGGCUCACCAAGGCGACGAUGCUUAGGGGGACUGAGAGGUUUUCCCCCCACACUGGUACUGAGACACGGACCAGACUCCUACGGGAGGCAGCAGUGAGGAAUAUUGGUCAAUGGGCGCAAGCCUGAACCAGCCAUGCCGCGUGCAGGAUGACGGCUCUAUGAGUGGUAAACUGCUUUUGUACGAGGGUAAAGUGGGUUACGUGUAACCCUUUGAAAGUAUCGUACGAAUAAGGAUCGGCUAACUCCGUGCCAGCAGCCGCCGUAA